UACGUAGGAGACGAGCGUUAUCCGGAUUUACUGGGUGUAAAGCGCAUGUAGGCGGGUUCCCAAGUCGAGCAUGAAAUCUCCCGGCUUAACCGGGAGGAGCGGUUCGAUACUAGGAGCCUUGAGGGCAGGAGAGGGAAGCAGAAUUCCCGGUGUAGUGGUGGAAUACGUAGAUAUCGGGAGGAAUACCAGUGGCGAAAGCGGCUUCCUGGCCUGCUCCUAACGCUGAGAUGCGAAAGCGUGGGUAGCAAACGGG
RNAcentral lists this ribosomal RNA (253 nucleotides) under uncultured bacterium. RNAcentral's name for it is "partial 16S ribosomal RNA". It matches the Rfam family "Bacterial small subunit ribosomal RNA", at positions 524 to 776 of the family's 1533-position model. The record is from RNAcentral.